RNAcentral lists this ribosomal RNA (480 nucleotides) under uncultured bacterium. Its description in RNAcentral is "partial 16S ribosomal RNA". It matches the Rfam family "Bacterial small subunit ribosomal RNA", at positions 28 to 523 of the family's 1533-position model. The record is from RNAcentral.
GACGAACGCUGGCGGCGUGCUUAACACAUGCAAGUCGAACGGUAAGGCCCCUUCGGGGGUACACGAGUGGCGAACGGGUGAGUAACACGUGGGUGAUCUGCCCUGCACUCUGGGAUAAGCCUGGGAAACUGGGUCUAAUACCGGAUAUGAGCUCCUGUCGCAUGGCGGGGGUUGGAAAGGUUUACUGGUGCAGGAUGGGCCCGCGGCCUAUCAGCUUGUUGGUGGGGUAAUGGCCUACCAAGGCGACGACGGGUAGCCGGCCUGAGAGGGCGACCGGCCACACUGGGACUGAGACACGGCCCAGACUCCUACGGGAGGCAGCAGUGGGGAAUAUUGCACAAUGGGCGAAAGCCUGAUGCAGCGACGCCGCGUGAGGGAUGACGGCCUUCGGGUUGUAAACCUCUUUCAGCAGGGACGAAGCGAGAGUGACGGUACCUGCAGAAGAAGCACCGGCCAACUACGUGCCAGCCGCCGCCGUAA